This 354-nucleotide unclassified non-coding RNA is filed under the name soil metagenome. Its description in RNAcentral is "partial contains 5.8S ribosomal RNA, internal transcribed spacer 2, and large subunit ribosomal RNA". The stretch from base 1 to 120 matches the Rfam family "5.8S ribosomal RNA", at positions 35 to 154 of the family's 154-position model. The record is from RNAcentral.
GAUGAAGAACGUAGCGAAAUGCGAUAAGUAGUGUGAAUUGCAGAAUUCAGUGAAUCAUCGAAUCUUUGAACGCACAUUGCGCCUCCUGGUAUUCCGGGAGGCAUGCCUGUUCGAGCGUCAUUAAAAUCACUCAAGCUUAGGUUUACCUAUUGCUUGGUCUUGGAGAUGGAAGCCAAUUCAUUGGAAUCCUCUUCGAAAUCCAAUGGCGAAGACCCUUGCUCUCCCAAGUGUAGUAAUAACUUAUGUCACUGAAGGAAGCGAGAAAUCUUCCGCCGUAACCCCCAUAUUUUCUAUGAUUGACCUCGGUUCAGGUAGGGAUACCCGCUGAACUUAAGCAUAUCAAUAAGCGGAGGA